UCGAACGAGAAAGUGGAGCAAUCCAUGAGUACAGUGGCGAACGGGUGAGUAACACGUGACUAACCUGCCUUCGAGUGGGGGAUAACCUCGGGAAACCGGGGCUAAUACCGCAUAACAUCCUCAGGGUGCAAUUCCCAGGGGACCAAAGGGGUAAGACGCUUGAAGAGGGGGUCGCGGCUGAUUAGCUAGUUGGUGAGGUAAUGGCUCACCAAGGCGAAGAUCGGUAGCCGGCCUGAGAGGGCGCACGGCCACACUGGAACUGAAACACGGUCCAGACUCCUAUGGGAGGCAGCAGUGGGGAAUUUUGCGCAAUGGGGGAAACCCUGACGCAGCAACGCCGCGUGGAGGAUGAAGCCCCUUGGGGCGUAAACUCCUUUCGAUCGGGACGAUUAUGACGGUACCGGAUGAAGAAGCAC
Molecule: ribosomal RNA, 416 nt
Filed under: uncultured soil bacterium
Lineage: Bacteria
Description: bacterial SSU rRNA
Rfam family: Bacterial small subunit ribosomal RNA
Source: RNAcentral